RNAcentral lists this long non-coding RNA (429 nucleotides) under Daphnia pulicaria. Its description in RNAcentral is "uncharacterized LOC124314344". Lineage: Eukaryota; Metazoa; Arthropoda; Branchiopoda; Diplostraca; Daphniidae. The record is from RNAcentral.
UUUGGCAACGUUUUCCCUCCCUCCUUUUUCCCCCUCUCAAUUGUCAAUUAAUGUCGUCUGUAAACCACGUUGAAUUCUGGGCUUUCACUCUCUCUCUCUCGUGUUUAACUGAUUUGUUCGUGAUUGCCCAAAGUCAAUUUACUGGGUUUAAGGACCCGUGUGUGUGUGUGUGUCGUUCUUCUUAUUCUAAGAGACGUCACUCGAGUUGAAUCUAGUGUGUGACGAUAUAUCCGACAUUUGUGUGUCACAGGACACUAAUUGGCCUAUACACCUCUGGGUGUUGACCCUGUGUACGAGUGAUUCUCACCUUGUGUGUAGCCUGUCUUCACAGGAACCACCACUUCCUUAUCACAAAGUACACCGUGUUCAUUUAUGUGAACACCAGUCAAGUCGAACACAAUACAAGAGAUUUUGCUCUUACGAGCCAAC